UACGGGGGGGGCAAGCGUUGUUCGGAAUUACUGGGCGUAAAGGGCCAGUAGGCGGCCAACUAAGUCCGACGUGAAAUCCCAAGGCUUAACCUUGGAACUGCGUCGGAUACUGGAUGGCUUGAAUUCGGGAGAGGGAUGCAGAAUUCCAGGUGUAGCGGUGAAAUGCGUAGAUAUCUGGAGGAAUACCGGUGGCGAAGGCGGCAUCCUGGACCGACAUUGACGCUGAGGAGCGAAAGCUAGGGGAGCAAACGGG
RNAcentral lists this ribosomal RNA (253 nucleotides) under uncultured bacterium. Its description in RNAcentral is "partial 16S ribosomal RNA". It matches the Rfam family "Bacterial small subunit ribosomal RNA", at positions 524 to 776 of the family's 1533-position model. The record is from RNAcentral.